GUCCAUAGCUAUGCCACCCUGAACAAGCCCGAUCCCGGCUGAUCUCGGAAGCUAUGUAGGGUCAGGCCUGGUUUAGUACUUGGAUGGGAGACCACCUAGGAAGCCCAGGUGCUCUAUGCG
Molecule: ribosomal RNA, 120 nt
Organism: Pteropus vampyrus (large flying fox)
Lineage: Eukaryota; Metazoa; Chordata; Mammalia; Chiroptera; Pteropodidae
Source: Ensembl